UGUAUCUUUAGGUGUGGUAAGUCUUUCCUGCUAGUCUUCAGGUCAUUCUCAUAGAUAAUAGCUCUGUAAAUUGCUGUGAUUUUGCUGUGUUUGUGGAAGAAGGUGAGUUCAGGGCCUUCCGACUCUACUAUCUUGGCCAUCUCUAUUUUAUUUCUAAAGGAAACCUCUUAUCUUGUUUUCUUUGAUAUCCACAGCAACUCAUAUUUCGCUUGAGGAGGCUGAGGCUUAGAGAAAAGUAAACUGAUUAAGGUCUCAUAGCUGGACAGUGGCAGGGAUGAGUGUGAAACUGUCUUCUUAAAAUAUGUACUACAUCACAAUAUACUCUGUUGUUUCCUAACCAGCUUACACAUCUGACUCACUCAUGAUGCUUUUCUAAAACACAGAUGCCUGGCUCCCACCCAAACUUUUGGAGUCAGAAUUUCCAGAGGGUCUGCAAUAUGAAGAAGACACGGUGCAUGUAGAAGAAACUAUGUUGGAGUUCAAACACCUAAGGUUAUCACCAUUGACCACCCCUGACUUUGUGACCUUUGGUUACUACAAGAUAUGGAAUUUUCUAGGCAAGAAUACU
Non-coding RNA from Odocoileus virginianus texanus, 568 nucleotides. The record is from RefSeq and is a predicted model, not a curated record. Lineage: Eukaryota; Metazoa; Chordata; Mammalia; Artiodactyla; Cervidae.